This is a long non-coding RNA of Thalassophryne amazonica, 101 nucleotides long. RefSeq lists it as uncharacterized. NCBI's taxonomy places the organism in Eukaryota, Metazoa, Chordata, Actinopteri, Batrachoidiformes, Batrachoididae. The transcript is spliced from 3 exons. The record is from RefSeq and is a predicted model, not a curated record.
AUGGAGUAGAGUUGUUAACUGUCCCUUGAAAAAAGGAACUGUCCUGUAUUUAGAAACAAAAGUACGUGUCAAAUAGUUUCAAAAUCAUUUCACACACACAC